RNAcentral lists this long non-coding RNA (846 nucleotides) under Heterocephalus glaber (naked mole-rat). RNAcentral describes it as "lncRNA (ENSHGLG00100033611.1)". Lineage: Eukaryota; Metazoa; Chordata; Mammalia; Rodentia; Bathyergidae. The record is from RNAcentral.
CCCGGGCAGAGGAGGCUGCCUUCACCGAGUCAUCCCCUUCUUUCUCAGUCUUGCCUAGCACCUCGAGGAAGGAAGAAACCACCUUCACCCUGAGUCUCAAGGUGAAGCUUCCACCAUUCCGGCACCCAGGAGCAGGCAGAGCCCCAGACUCUGGAAGGAGCUCUGCCACCCCGGGCUUUCCAGAAGACCUUUGGAGAUGAUCUCGCCCGCAUCAUCUUUCCCGUCUCAGGUGCCCUCAUCUCGGAGACGCUGUGGAGAGUACAGAGCAACCCAGUGUUCCCACAGCCUGUGGAAGAGGUUUCACAUCAAGGAAGCAGGCAGCAGGAGCCCCCAGCAUGCCGCGCCUGGCCGAGCAGCCAGGGGAACCCCAAGCCCACACCUCACGCUCCAAUGGCAACAACAAACGCAACUCCCGGAGGAACCAGCACAAAGCUCAGCAUCUGGGCUCCUCAGCCAAGCUCCGGAAGUGACUGUGAACACGUGCUCCCCCGAGACCCCAGGGCCUGCCCUCCUGCCUGCAACUGUGCCCCUAACAACAGAAACAAAACCCGUACAAGCCGCCGUGCCGGGCUCACAGAGAGAAGUCAACAAAUGUCUGCUGGAAGAAUAAGAGAAUGAAUGAACAAUGUUGUUCCUCUUGGAUUUCCCAGCUGGCUGGACUCCUGGGCAGGUCUUUGAAUUCGCCCUGCAGACCCCGUUGUGUUGCUUCCCUUGGCUCUUCAGAACAAAAGAGUAUACAAAAGUGCUUAUCCUUUUUGAUAGAAAUGGGUUGGAACAGUAUGGUUUUCACUUUGACUGGGGAGGCCUAGAAUGGUUUGCAAUCGAUUGUUUGUUUCACUAAUGGAG